Molecule: unclassified non-coding RNA, 356 nt
Filed under: Hevea brasiliensis (rubber tree)
Lineage: Eukaryota; Viridiplantae; Streptophyta; Magnoliopsida; Malpighiales; Euphorbiaceae
Source: RNAcentral
GGAAAAAUUUAAAUUACCUCCAUCUUGAUUAUAAUUUUAACUUGAAGCCUGUGAAAACCCUUACUACAAAGGAACGCAAGAAAUCUCGGUUUGGCAAUGCUUUUCAUCUCUGCCGUGAGAUCCUGCGUUUGACAAAGCUUGUGGUUGAUGCCAAUAUCCAGUUCCGACUGGGUAAUGUUGAUGCAUUCCAGCUAGCUGAUGGUCUGCAAUAUACAUUUUCUCAUGUUGGUCAGUUGACUGGCAUGUAUCGCUACAAGUACAGGCUGAUGAGACAGAUUAGAAUGUGCAAAGACUUGAAGCACUUGAUAUAUUACCGCUUCAAUACGGGUCCAGUGGGGAAAGGACCUGGCUGUGGA